GACGAACGCUGGCGGCGUGCUUAACACAUGCAAGUCACGGGGGUCCCGCAAGGGAUAACCGGCGAACGGGUGCGUAACACGUGAACAACCUGCCCUCGUGUGGGGGAGUAGCCAUGCUAACGCGUGGGUAAUACCGCAUACGUUCCCCUGGAGGAGUCUCUGGGGGAGGAAAGCUCCGGCGCACGGGGAGGGGUUCGCGGCCUAUCAGCUAGUUGGCGGGGUAAUGGCCCACCAAGGCGACGACGGGUAGCUGGCUGAGAGGAUGGCCAGCCACAUUGGGACUGAGAGACGGCCCAGACUCUACGGGAGGCAGCAGUGGGGAAUCUUGCGCAAUGGCCGAAAGGCUGACGCAGCGACGCCGCGUGUGGGAUGAA
This 374-nucleotide ribosomal RNA is filed under the name uncultured bacterium. Its description in RNAcentral is "bacterial SSU rRNA". It matches the Rfam family "Bacterial small subunit ribosomal RNA", at positions 28 to 412 of the family's 1533-position model. The record is from RNAcentral.